Molecule: non-coding RNA, 25 nt
Filed under: Rattus norvegicus (Norway rat)
Lineage: Eukaryota; Metazoa; Chordata; Mammalia; Rodentia; Muridae
Source: RNAcentral
UAUGAUGGGGACAAUUUAGGAGGGA